Molecule: non-coding RNA, 87 nt
Organism: Amylocarpus encephaloides
Lineage: Eukaryota; Fungi; Ascomycota; Leotiomycetes; Helotiales
Source: the annotation of a GenBank genome assembly
GGCCCCGUGGCCUAAUGGUUAAGGCGUUGCAUUUCGGUUACUACAGCAUCACUGCAAAGAUUGGGUGUUCGAAUCAUCCCGGGGUCG